Molecule: ribosomal RNA, 2930 nt
Filed under: Escherichia coli
Lineage: Bacteria; Pseudomonadati; Pseudomonadota; Gammaproteobacteria; Enterobacterales; Enterobacteriaceae
Description: 23S ribosomal RNA
Rfam family: Bacterial large subunit ribosomal RNA
Source: RNAcentral
GGGUUGUGAGGUUAAGCGACUAAGCGUACACGGUGGAUGCCCUGGCAGUCAGAGGCGAUGAAGGACGUGCUAAUCUGCGAUAAGCGUCGGUAAGGUGAUAUGAACCGUUAUAACCGGCGAUUUCCGAAUGGGGAAACCCAGUGUGUUUCGACACACUAUCAUUAACUGAAUCCAUAGGUUAAUGAGGCGAACCGGGGGAACUGAAACAUCUAAGUACCCCGAGGAAAAGAAAUCAACCGAGAUUCCCCCAGUAGCGGCGAGCGAACGGGGAGCAGCCCAGAGCCUGAAUCAGUGUGUGUGUUAGUGGAAGCGUCUGGAAAGGCGCGCGAUACAGGGUGACAGCCCCGUACACAAAAAUGCACAUGCUGUGAGCUCGAUGAGUAGGGCGGGACACGUGGUAUCCUGUCUGAAUAUGGGGGGACCAUCCUCCAAGGCUAAAUACUCCUGACUGACCGAUAGUGAACCAGUACCGUGAGGGAAAGGCGAAAAGAACCCCGGCGAGGGGAGUGAAAAAGAACCUGAAACCGUGUACGUACAAGCAGUGGGAGCACGCUUCGGCGUGUGACUGCGUACCUUUUGUAUAAUGGGUCAGCGACUUAUAUUCUGUAGCAAGGUUAACCGAAUAGGGGAGCCGAAGGGAAACCGAGUCUUAACUGGGCGUUAAGUUGCAGGGUAUAGACCCGAAACCCGGUGAUCUAGCCAUGGGCAGGUUGAAGGUUGGGUAACACUAACUGGAGGACCGAACCGACUAAUGUUGAAAAAUUAGCGGAUGACUUGUGGCUGGGGGUGAAAGGCCAAUCAAACCGGGAGAUAGCUGGUUCUCCCCGAAAGCUAUUUAGGUAGCGCCUCGUGAAUUCAUCUCCGGGGGUAGAGCACUGUUUCGGCAAGGGGGUCAUCCCGACUUACCAACCCGAUGCAAACUGCGAAUACCGGAGAAUGUUAUCACGGGAGACACACGGCGGGUGCUAACGUCCGUCGUGAAGAGGGAAACAACCCAGACCGCCAGCUAAGGUCCCAAAGUCAUGGUUAAGUGGGAAACGAUGUGGGAAGGCCCAGACAGCCAGGAUGUUGGCUUAGAAGCAGCCAUCAUUUAAAGAAAGCGUAAUAGCUCACUGGUCGAGUCGGCCUGCGCGGAAGAUGUAACGGGGCUAAACCAUGCACCGAAGCUGCGGCAGCGACGCUGAUGCGUUGUUGGGUAGGGGAGCGUUCUGUAAGCCUGCGAAGGUGUACUGUGAGGUAUGCUGGAGGUAUCAGAAGUGCGAAUGCUGACAUAAGUAACGAUAAAGCGGGUGAAAAGCCCGCUCGCCGGAAGACCAAGGGUUCCUGUCCAACGUUAAUCGGGGCAGGGUGAGUCGACCCCUAAGGCGAGGCCGAAAGGCGUAGUCGAUGGGAAACAGGUUAAUAUUCCUGUACUUGGUGUUACUGCGAAGGGGGGACGGAGAAGGCUAUGUUGGCCGGGCGACGGUUGUCCCGGUUUAAGCGUGUAGGCUGGUUUUCCAGGCAAAUCCGGAAAAUCAAGGCUGAGGCGUGAUGACGAGGUACUACGGUGCUGAAGCAACAAAUGCCCUGCUUCCAGGAAAAGCCUCUAAGCAUCAGGUAACAUCAAAUCGUACCCCAAACCGACACAGGUGGUCAGGUAGAGAAUACCAAGGCGCUUGAGAGAACUCGGGUGAAGGAACUAGGCAAAAUGGUGCCGUAACUUCGGGAGAAGGCACGCUGAUACGUAGGUGAAGUCCCUCGCGGAUGGAGCUGAAAUCAGUCGAAGAUACCAGCUGGCUGCAACUGUUUAUUAAAAACACAGCACUGUGCAAACACGAAAGUGGACGUAUACGGUGUGACGCCUGCCCGGUGCCGGAAGGUUAAUUGAUGGGGUUAGCGCAAGCGAAGCUCUUGAUCGAAGCCCCGGUAAACGGCGGCCGUAACUAUAACGGUCCUAAGGUAGCGAAAUUCCUUGUCGGGUAAGUUCCGACCUGCACGAAUGGCGUAAUGAUGGCCAGGCUGUCUCCACCCGAGACUCAGUGAAAUUGAACUCGCUGUGAAGAUGCAGUGUACCCGCGGCAAGACGGAAAGACCCCGUGAACCUUUACUAUAGCUUGACACUGAACAUUGAGCCUUGAUGUGUAGGAUAGGUGGGAGGCUUUGAAGUGUGGACGCCAGUCUGCAUGGAGCCGACCUUGAAAUACCACCCUUUAAUGUUUGAUGUUCUAACGUUGACCCGUAAUCCGGGUUGCGGACAGUGUCUGGUGGGUAGUUUGACUGGGGCGGUCUCCUCCUAAAGAGUAACGGAGGAGCACGAAGGUUGGCUAAUCCUGGUCGGACAUCAGGAGGUUAGUGCAAUGGCAUAAGCCAGCUUGACUGCGAGCGUGACGGCGCGAGCAGGUGCGAAAGCAGGUCAUAGUGAUCCGGUGGUUCUGAAUGGAAGGGCCAUCGCUCAACGGAUAAAAGGUACUCCGGGGAUAACAGGCUGAUACCGCCCAAGAGUUCAUAUCGACGGCGGUGUUUGGCACCUCGAUGUCGGCUCAUCACAUCCUGGGGCUGAAGUAGGUCCCAAGGGUAUGGCUGUUCGCCAUUUAAAGUGGUACGCGAGCUGGGUUUAGAACGUCGUGAGACAGUUCGGUCCCUAUCUGCCGUGGGCGCUGGAGAAUUGAGGGGGGCUGCUCCUAGUACGAGAGGACCGGAGUGGACGCAUCACUGGUGUUCGGGUUGUCAUGCCAAUGGCACUGCCCGGUAGCUAAAUGCGGAAGAGAUAAGUGCUGAAAGCAUCUAAGCACGAAACUUGCCCCGAGAUGAGUUCUCCCUGACUCCUUGAGAGUCCUGAAGGAACGUUGAAGACGACGACGUUGAUAGGCCGGGUGUGUAAGCGCAGCGAUGCGUUGAGCUAACCGGUACUAAUGAACCGUGAGGCUUAACCUUACAACGCCGAAGCUGUU